Molecule: ribosomal RNA, 253 nt
Filed under: uncultured bacterium
Lineage: Bacteria
Description: partial 16S ribosomal RNA
Rfam family: Bacterial small subunit ribosomal RNA
Source: RNAcentral
UACGAAGGGGGCUAGCGUUGCUCGGAAUUACUGGGCGUAAAGCGCGCGUAGGCGGAUCUGCAAGUCGGGGGUGAAAUCCCGAGGCUCAACCUCGGAACUGCCUUCGAUACUGCGGGUCUCGAGUCCGGGAGAGGUUAGUGGAAUUCCUGGUGUAGCGGUGAAAUGCGUUGAUAUCAGGAGGAACACCCAUGGCGAAGGCAGCUAACUGGGCAUUAUCUGACGCUGAGGCGCGAAAGCGUGGGUAGCAAACAGG